AUUGAACGCUGGCGGCAUGCCUUACACAUGCAAGUCGAACGGUAACGGGCCUUCGGGUGCCGACGAGUGGCGAACGGGUGAGUAAUGUAUCGGAACGUACCUUUCAGUGGGGGAUAACGUAGCGAAAGUUACGCUAAUACCGCAUAUUCUGUGAGCAGGAAAGCAGGGGAUCGCAAGACCUUGCGCUGAUUGAGCGGCCGAUGUCAGAUUAGCUAGUUGGUGAGGUAAAGGCUCACCAAGGCGACGAUCUGUAGCGGGUCUGAGAGGAUGAUCCGCCACACUGGGACUGAGACACGGCCCAGACUCCUACGGGAGGCAGCAGUGGGGAAUUUUGGACAAUGGGGGCAACCCUGAUCCAGCCAUGCCGCGUGAGUGAAGAAGGCCUUCGGGUUGUAAAGCUCUUUCGGCCGGGAAGAAAUCGCACAGGCUAAUACCUUGUGUGGAUGACGGUACCGGAAUAAGAAGCACCGGCUAACUACGUGCCAGCAGCCGCCGCAG
RNAcentral lists this ribosomal RNA (498 nucleotides) under uncultured bacterium. RNAcentral's name for it is "partial 16S ribosomal RNA". It matches the Rfam family "Bacterial small subunit ribosomal RNA", at positions 30 to 523 of the family's 1533-position model. The record is from RNAcentral.